ACUCGUAAUUGGCGCUCUUCGCCCCUUUAUAAUGCCAGCAGCAACAGAGAAAAAUAUAUUGCUAAUCAAAGCGUUCGUUUGAGUUUUAAUCGAUAUUGAAUUCAAAGUGUUUCUGUGGAAUUCAAGACAUUUAAUCGGAAUUACCUUCAGAAUUUCCAAUAAAAGUCGAUUUGGCGAAAACUAAUAUGCUGCGUAUGCCAAAUAAGGUAUGCUGUCAAACAAGCAAAUAAAUUAGGUACGCACACACAAACAGGAGCUCAUGGGCUGUAGUGUGUGCCUGAGGAUAAAGUUUUGCCUGGUGUUGGCUGCUAAAUGCUAAAAGCUGCUAAUUUCAUAUACAAUAAAACUAAUGUAAAUUGCCA
This is a non-coding RNA of Drosophila virilis, 362 nucleotides long. The record is from RefSeq and is a predicted model, not a curated record. NCBI's taxonomy places the organism in Eukaryota, Metazoa, Arthropoda, Insecta, Diptera, Drosophilidae.